This 253-nucleotide ribosomal RNA is filed under the name uncultured bacterium. RNAcentral's name for it is "partial 16S ribosomal RNA". It matches the Rfam family "Bacterial small subunit ribosomal RNA", at positions 524 to 776 of the family's 1533-position model. The record is from RNAcentral.
UACAGAGGUCUCAAGCGUUGUUCGGAUUUAUUGGGCGUAAAGGGUGUGUAGGUGGCGCCGUAAGUCGGGUGUGAAAUUUCGGAGCUUAACUCCGAAACUGCAUUCGAUACUGCGGUGCUUGAGGACUGGAGAGGAGACUGGAAUUCAUGGUGUAGCAGUGAAAUGCGUAGAGAUCAUGAGGAAGACCAGUGGCGAAGGCGGGUCUCCGGGCAGUAACUGACGCUGAGGAGCGAAAGCAUGGGGAGCGAACAGG